This 258-nucleotide ribosomal RNA is filed under the name uncultured bacterium. RNAcentral's name for it is "partial small subunit ribosomal RNA". It matches the Rfam family "Bacterial small subunit ribosomal RNA", at positions 26 to 285 of the family's 1533-position model. The record is from RNAcentral.
AGGACGAACGCUGGCGGCGUGCUUAACACAUGCAAGUCGAGCGGAAAGGCCCACUUGUGGGUACUCGAGCGGCGAACGGGUGAGUAACACGUGAGUAAUCUGCCCUUCACUUGGGGAUAACGUCCAGAAAUGGGUGCUAAUACCCGGUAUUCACUUCUUCACGCAUGUGGGGUUGUGGAAAGGUUUUCUGGUGGGGGAUGUGCUCGCGGCCUAUCAGCUUGUUGGUGGGGUAAUGGCUUACCAAGGCUUUGACGGGUA